ACUACGGGUGGCAGCAGUGGGGAAUAUUGGGCAAUGGGCGCAAGCCUGACCCAGCAACGCCGCGUGAAGGAAGAAGGCUUUCGGGUUGUAAACUUCUUUUAUCAGGGACGAAGCAAGUGACGGUACCUGAUGAAUAAGCCACGGCUAACUACGUGCCAGCAGCCGCGGUAAUACGUAGGUGGCAAGCGUUAUCCGGAUUUACUGGGUGUAAAGGGUGUGUAGGCGGGAGUGCAAGUCAGAUGUGAAAACUAUGGGCUCAACCCAUAGCCUGCAUUUGAAACUGUACUUCUUGAGUGCUGGAGAGGCAAUCGGAAUUCCGUGUGUAGCGGUGAAAUGCGUAGAUAUACGGAGGAACACCAGUGGCGAAGGCGGAUUGCUGGACAGUAACUGACGCUGAGGCGCGAAAGCGUGGGGAGCAAACAGGAUUAGAUACCCGGGUAGUC
RNAcentral lists this ribosomal RNA (443 nucleotides) under uncultured bacterium. Its description in RNAcentral is "partial 16S ribosomal RNA". It matches the Rfam family "Bacterial small subunit ribosomal RNA", at positions 338 to 795 of the family's 1533-position model. The record is from RNAcentral.